CAGCCCUGAGGGUGCUCAUGGCCAGAAAAAGCCUGGAACUCAAAAUGGGAGCCCAGCCCGUGGCAGUGAAGCAUUCCCAGGAGCAAGGGACACUUCAGGAACAGGCCUGGUGCCACCAGUGCCACCCCAUGGGGCCUGAGAAAAUCCUGCAGACACAAAGGGAGCUGAGUUCCCCCAUACCUGAGCUGCCUGCACUCAGGAGGCAGCACAGAGACAUCCUGAGGAGCAGAGAAUUAGUCCAGCCAAAACUGAGUGCAAGGAAACCUUUCCAGAAAGGACUGAUUCAAUGAGAUGAUGAGAAGAGCAGUGCCUGAUGACCUGGCACACACACCCCGGGCAAGCAAGAAACAAAAACAACUUUUCCUUUAGAGCUUGGAAACUUAAGGGGUUUUUUGUGCUUCAAUAUCAAAGACAACAAAUUCACAAUAUGCCCCUGCACAAAGGAUACUGGAAAACAUUGAUUUCAGGAUUAUUCAAUAA
This is a long non-coding RNA of Passer domesticus (house sparrow), 480 nucleotides long. RefSeq lists it as uncharacterized. NCBI's taxonomy places the organism in Eukaryota, Metazoa, Chordata, Aves, Passeriformes, Passeridae. The record is from RefSeq and is a predicted model, not a curated record. The transcript has 2 exons.